This 22-nucleotide microRNA is filed under the name Monodelphis domestica (gray short-tailed opossum). Its description in RNAcentral is "mdo-miR-7273-5p". The record is from miRBase by way of RNAcentral. Lineage: Eukaryota; Metazoa; Chordata; Mammalia; Didelphimorphia; Didelphidae.
CAAGCUAGGCCUGGAUAGAAGC